UUGAAGAGUUUGAUCAUGGCUCAGAUUGAACGCUGGCGGCAGGCCUAACACAUGCAAGUCGAGCGGUAGCACAGAGAGCUUGCUCUCGGGUGACGAGCGGCGGACGGGUGAGUAAUGUCUGGGAAACUGCCUGAUGGAGGGGGAUAACUACUGGAAACGGUAGCUAAUACCGCAUAACGUCGCAAGACCAAAGUGGGGGACCUUCGGGCCUCAUGCCAUCAGAUGUGCCCAGAUGGGAUUAGCUAGUAGGUGGGGUAAUGGCUCACCUAGGCGACGAUCCCUAGCUGGUCUGAGAGGAUGACCAGCCACACUGGAACUGAGACACGGUCCAGACUCCUACGGGAGGCAGCAGUGGGGAAUAUUGCACAAUGGGCGCAAGCCUGAUGCAGCCAUGCCGCGUGUGUGAAGAAGGCCUUCGGGUUGUAAAGCACUUUCAGCGGGGAGGAAGGCGUUAAGGUUAAUAACCUUGGCGAUUGACGUUACCCGCAGAAGAAGCACCGGCUAACUCCGUGCCAGCAGCCGCGGUAAUACGGAGGGUGCAAGCGUUAAUCGGAAUUACUGGGCGUAAAGCGCACGCAGGCGGUCUGUCAAGUCGGAUGUGAAAUCCCCGGGCUCAACCUGGGAACUGCAUUCGAAACUGGCAGGCUAGAGUCUUGUAGAGGGGGGUAGAAUUCCAGGUGUAGCGGUGAAAUGCGUAGAGAUCUGGAGGAAUACCGGUGGCGAAGGCGGCCCCCUGGACAAAGACUGACGCUCAGGUGCGAAAGCGUGGGGAGCAAACAGGAUUAGAUACCCUGGUAGUCCACGCCGUAAACGAUGUCGAUUUGGAGGUUGUGCCCUUGAGGCGUGGCUUCCGGAGCUAACGCGUUAAAUCGACCGCCUGGGGAGUACGGCCGCAAGGUUAAAACUCAAAUGAAUUGACGGGGGCCCGCACAAGCGGUGGAGCAUGUGGUUUAAUUCGAUGCAACGCGAAGAACCUUACCUGGUCUUGACAUCCACAGAACUUAGCAGAGAUGCUUUGGUGCCUUCGGGAACUGUGAGACAGGUGCUGCAUGGCUGUCGUCAGCUCGUGUUGUGAAAUGUUGGGUUAAGUCCCGCAACGAGCGCAACCCUUAUCCUUUGUUGCCAGCGGUCCGGCCGGGAACUCAAAGGAGACUGCCAGUGAUAAACUGGAGGAAGGUGGGGAUGACGUCAAGUCAUCAUGGCCCUUACGACCAGGGCUACACACGUGCUACAAUGGCAUAUACAAAGAGAAGCGACCUCGCGAGAGCAAGCGGACCUCAUAAAGUAUGUCGUAGUCCGGAUUGGAGUCUGCAACUCGACUCCAUGAAGUCGGAAUCGCUAGUAAUCGUAGAUCAGAAUGCUACGGUGAAUACGUUCCCGGGCCUUGUACACACCGCCCGUCACACCAUGGGAGUGGGUUGCAAAAGAAGUAGCUUAACCUUCGGGAGGGCGCUUACCACUUUGUGAUUCAUGACUGGGGUGAAGUCGUAACAAGGUAACCGUAGGGGAACCUGCGGUUGGAUCACCUCCUU
This 1532-nucleotide ribosomal RNA is filed under the name Klebsiella pneumoniae. Its description in RNAcentral is "bacterial SSU rRNA". It matches the Rfam family "Bacterial small subunit ribosomal RNA". The record is from RNAcentral. Lineage: Bacteria; Pseudomonadati; Pseudomonadota; Gammaproteobacteria; Enterobacterales; Enterobacteriaceae.